UCCCUAAAAUCUCUACAACAAACCAAAUUUCCACAUAAUUGUAUAUAUAUCUCUUCCCACAAUCUCAGCCAGUUUCCAACGCCAUCCCGGUUCAGUUCCUCUUCGUUUCUGCAAAGGUAAUCUUUUCCUCAACCCUAUGAGUAUGAAAACCUCCAUGUAUUAAUCCCAUGGCCAAUUUUCUUGUGAUAUCACACCUUGAACCGAGACACUGAGUUUUUCAAUAUCCUCUGCUUCUGCAAGUUUUGCUUCUCCGGAAGACAUAUAUUCUUCCUCCCUUCAGCCCCCAAAUUCUCAUACCAAGCAGUGAGUUCAAGUUUUCAUCCGCCAUUGUUUUCCAGCAAAGCCAAAUUCUUCUUUACCAAAAGUGUGAACGAGAAACCAAGAGUGUGUGAUAUUUCAAUACCUUCUCUUCUGCAAAUGUUGCUACUUCCGGAAGGGUGAAAUUUUGCACGUUGUUGAGGUUGGGACCGGAAGUUUGAGGAGGAGCUAAGCUUUUGAGAUUGAGCGGCGAUGGACGUGGAGGAUGUUGAGCAGAGUUGUUGGAAAAUUAUAUCUUGUUUGGUUGUUGGAUUUGUCGAGUCUUCAUACUCGGCAUUUUUCCAUGUCUUGACGCUUCCGCUAAAAUUCUAAAUUUCCUUUGGACUGUUUUAUCAUUGGGUCUUAUUAUUCGAAGUUAGUUUUGUGGAGAAAGUAUUCGAGUUUGUUUUAAGUUUCUUAGUUAAUCUUUUGUUUUGGUCGUGUAUA
Molecule: long non-coding RNA, 744 nt
Organism: Salvia hispanica
Lineage: Eukaryota; Viridiplantae; Streptophyta; Magnoliopsida; Lamiales; Lamiaceae
Source: RefSeq, a predicted model, not a curated record